AUUUCUUUAGUAUACUAGUAUAAGUACCUUCCAAGCACUAGGCCCCUCGCGGGAAGAAAUA
Molecule: transfer RNA, 61 nt
Filed under: Pareas boulengeri
Lineage: Eukaryota; Metazoa; Chordata; Lepidosauria; Squamata; Pareidae
Description: tRNA-Gly
Source: RNAcentral